RNAcentral lists this long non-coding RNA (348 nucleotides) under Brassica napus (rape). Its description in RNAcentral is "long non-coding RNA (BNAP_LNC010007)". The record is from RNAcentral. Lineage: Eukaryota; Viridiplantae; Streptophyta; Magnoliopsida; Brassicales; Brassicaceae.
GCUUUAGAAAAUAACUCAAAAGUAAAGCUUCUCAAACUCACAAACUCAUAAGUUAUGCAACACACUUUGCAUCUCCUUAUAUAACACUUAACUUAUCAUAAACUCAUUAGGAAUAAUACAACUAGCAAUUUCCUAAUCCUUUUAGCAAACCAUAUCUUAGUAGGAUUACAAAACUUGCACCUUAAACUAUUUCAAGCUUAUCUCAGCACGCACUGUUGCUUACGCGUCUGGAUAAACGCUCCAUGGACCCUCACCGCGGCGAAUUGGAAUGGUGCGGUGACGUUAUGCAUAAAAACCUGUGCGGAUACAACUCUAGUAGCUUUUGGUAAAGAAAAAAAAACUAUUGAU